RNAcentral lists this small RNA (132 nucleotides) under Klebsiella pneumoniae subsp. pneumoniae. RNAcentral describes it as "RtT sRNA". It matches the Rfam family "RtT RNA". Rfam says of the family: This family represents a bacterial cis-regulatory element known as RtT RNA. The exact function of RtT is unknown although it is thought that it may be involved in changing the cellular response in relation to amino acid starvation. Lineage: Bacteria; Pseudomonadati; Pseudomonadota; Gammaproteobacteria; Enterobacterales; Enterobacteriaceae. The record is from RNAcentral.
UAUUCUGCCCCAUGGGGAAGGAUGAGAAGNUUCGACNAAGGUUCGACUCGAGCGAAGCGAGAGAACGUUGCCGCAGGCAACGGCCCGAAGGGCGAGGCGCUUUAGCGCCGAGUAAUCCUUCCCCCACCACCA